GACGAACGCUGGCGGCGUGCUUAACACAUGCAAGUCGAACGGAAAGGCCCUGCUUUUGUGGGGUGCUCGAGUGGCGAACGGGUGAGUAACACGUGAGUAAACUGCCCUUGACUUUGGGAUAACUUCAGGAAACUGGGGAUAAUACAGGAUAGGAGCUCCUGCUGCAUGGUGGGGGUUGGAAAGUUGCGGCGGUUGGGGAUGGACUCGCGGCCUAUCAGCUUGUUGGUGGGGUAGUGGCUCACCAAGGCUUUGAAGGGUAGCCGGCCUGAGAGGGUGACCGGCCCCAGUGGGACUGAGAUACGGCCCAGACGCCUACGGGAGGCAGCAGUGGAGAAUAUUGCACACUGCGCGGAAGCCUGAUGCAGCAACGCCGCGUGCGGGAUGACGGCCUUCGGGUUGUAAACCGCUUUCGCCUGUGACGACGCGUGAGUGCGGGUACUGGGUAAAGAAGCACCGGUAAAUUACGU
This 467-nucleotide ribosomal RNA is filed under the name uncultured bacterium. RNAcentral describes it as "partial 16S ribosomal RNA". It matches the Rfam family "Bacterial small subunit ribosomal RNA", at positions 28 to 506 of the family's 1533-position model. The record is from RNAcentral.